Molecule: ribosomal RNA, 298 nt
Filed under: uncultured bacterium
Lineage: Bacteria
Description: partial 16S ribosomal RNA
Rfam family: Bacterial small subunit ribosomal RNA
Source: RNAcentral
GCCUACGGGAGGCAGCAGUAGGGAAUCUUCCACAAUGGGGGAAACCCUGAUGCAGCGACGCCGCGUGAGUGAAGAAGUAUUUCGGUACGUAAAGCUCUAUCAGCAGGGAAGAAAAUGACGGUACCUGACUAAGAAGCCCCGGCUAACUACGUGCCAGCAGCCGCGGUAAUACGUAGGGGGCAAGCGUUAUCCGGAAUUACUGGGUGUAAAGGGAGCGUAGACGGCAGCGCAAGUCUGGAGUGAAAUCCCAUGGCUUAACCAUGGAACUGCUUUGGAAACUGUGCAGCUGGAGUGCAGG